UGGGCACAAAACCUUGCCUAUGUCUUGAGC
Molecule: non-coding RNA, 30 nt
Filed under: Homo sapiens (human)
Lineage: Eukaryota; Metazoa; Chordata; Mammalia; Primates; Hominidae
Source: RNAcentral